UCGUGUAAUUCAGUCAUGCUACUGCAUGAGCAAUAUUUAAGCCCACUUUUCGGGCAUUUUCCUGUUGCUUUUAUUUUUCCUAUGCAAGAUAUAUAUAACAUCUCCUUCCACAGAGAUAUAAGUCUUGAAAGGGGAAAAAGAAGGGCCCGUCCGAAGUUUUAAAAAUAGUCUUAAAAGAAUUUUAAAAAAAAAAUCAAUUUAAAA
RNAcentral lists this unclassified non-coding RNA (204 nucleotides) under uncultured Genea. RNAcentral's name for it is "sequence contains ITS1". Lineage: Eukaryota; Fungi; Ascomycota; Pezizomycetes; Pezizales; Pyronemataceae. The record is from RNAcentral.